AACCAAUUAGGCACAAAACCAUGGAUUUGGUUGUUAGAAAGAUAUAGGGUAGUCAACUUGUCUUGUGUUUUGAUGAAUUCAGGAAAUUCUGUAAGGUUGCAAGAUCGUAGGCUAAGAUAAUAUAAUUGGGGAAAAGUAAAGUUUUUGUUGUUGCUUUCAAUUGAAAAGGAGGAGUUUGCAUCACCGAAAGGAAGCUCUUUAGAAAAAUUAAUGGCAUUGAAAGAAAGGUCUAAAUCUAGCAGAGUGGUCUUCCACAAUUUUGAUGAAUUCAGGAAAUUCUGUAAGGUUGCAAGAUCGUAGGCUAAGAUAAUCUAAUUGGGGAAUAGUAAAGCUUUUGUUGUUGCUUUCAAUUGAAAAGGAGGAGUUUGCUAAUUGGUUGUUAGAAAGAUCUAGAUAAGCCAACUUGCCUUGUGUUUUGAUGAAUUCUGGAAAUCCAGUAAGGUUGCACGACACUAGGUAUAACUCCUCCAAUUGGGGAAAUAUAAGGCUUUUGUUGUCGCUCCCAAUUAACAAGCUCAUAUUGGAUAGAUCGAGAGACCGUAAGUUCUUGAGUUGAAAGAACAUGUCAAGCUUCAUAGAACCAAAGUUGUUAUAGCCAAUAUAAAGUGAUUCAAGCCGUGGGAGUUGAAGGAUUGAGUUAGGAAUGGAUCCCCUUAAAUGAUUAUAGCCCAAAUUGAGAAUUGCAAGAUUUGGAACUCCAGAUCUAUGAAAUGGAGGGAUUAAACCAUUGAAACCAUUAUCUGAUAGAUCCAAUUCCACAAGAUUAGUAAGAUUUGCAACCGAUGAUGGAAUGGGUCCAAAGAAAGAGCAAUUAACAAGAUCUAAUUUUGUCAAUAACCUAAGAUUACCAAUUGAUUUUGGUAAUUCUCCACUGAAUUCUGUCCUGGAAAGUGACAAGACAUGUAAAUUGUUGUUGAUCGAAAUUCUGGCAAAUGACCCAUGAGAUUUUCAUUUUCUGAAAUAUCAAUGCUUUGCAUUUUGGGCAAUGAGAAAACUUCAGUUGGAAAAUGCCCACACAAAUUGCAAUCCCUUAGACUGAGAGAAACCAAUCGUCGAGAGGAAAUUUCCAAGAAAUUGGAGGCAAAUAAGAGACUGGAUUAUUGUCAAGGUUAAGUUUGGACAAAAAAUGGAGUCUGGAGAAGGAAGAACAAAGUGGACCUGUCAAACGACAGGAUGACAUGCUUAACACACGUAAAUUUGGAAGUGCUGACGAUAUGAUCUCACACCAUUUUGUACUUUGAGUUGAAAUGUUCACACCAUCCAAAUGGAGCUCUUCGAGAAACAUCAAAUUCUUGACUAAUGAGUUGAAAUUUGGUUUCUCUAACUUUAGAAUAGGAUAAUAAUCAUCAUCAUGAAUCAACACUUUGAUAAUUUCUCCAAUAGCAAUAAUCUUGAUUAGAUAAAUCAAGAGACACUAACCUUGUUAAGUGUGAGACUGCCAUUGGAAUUUGAUCAUGGAAACAUGAGUCUGAGAGAUUUAAAUGAGUCAAAUUUGGAAGUCCUCCAAACUCAUAGGGAUACAAAGUGGUAUUAAAAUUGUUUCCAGCAAGAUUAAGAUUUUGAAGAUGAUGGAGAUUGAAAAUGGAAUGAAAGCUUCCUGAAAGGUUUUUGUAAUUAAGAUCGAGGCCAAUAACAUAACCAAGACCAUCACACGUGACUCCUUUCCAAGAGCAAUAAUCUGUUUUGAGAUCCCAAAGCUCAAGUUUGGAAGAAAAAGUAAAAUUAGGAGAAAAGUAAAGAUGUUGCUGCAACUGAACCAGAGCAGAUCUUUGGUCAUCAAGGCGUUGGCUUUGGAUACUUGUUUUAGAUAGCACAACAGGUAUGAAGGAGCAUGAGAAGAGAAAGAAAGUAGGCAAAAAGAGUGAAAUUAGGAUACGAAGAGGGCUCAUGUUUUCUGUCUACAAAAAUGAAGGAAAGGUUGUGGAGUUUCAUAUUUCCAUACACCAUAUUUAUAGACUACUACAUCACAUUGUAUUAUAUAUCCUUAUCUGAUUAUUAAUUUUAUUAUAAAGUUAUAAAUACAAAAAAAUUAUAAUUAUAAUUAAAUAUUAUAUUCGUAUAAAAAAAUUAUUGAAUUAAAUCAAACAAAUAAAUUAAUAGAUGAACCAAUAGAUAAUUAAACAAAUUCAACAUAAAAUUAAAUCAAACUCACAAAAAAUAAAUAAGACUUAAUCUUUUGCUUUAAACUUAGUCUUGUCAUCAUAUAAAUAGUUGUCUUUUUCCUAAUUGUUACUUCAUAAUACUAAUAAUCUUAUAAGUUGCUGAAGUCUAAGUUAAUUCAAAACACAAAAAUAUAGCAAUAAAUUUCCUUUGUUAGCAAUUAAUAAAUAAUAUACUUAAAAUUUAUUGAAGAUUAAAUCAAAAGUACUAAGUUAAUAUCUGAUUUUCAUUGAAUUCAACUUUUGAAUAAAGAAAUGAGAUAAUAUAUUCUGAUGCAACAUUGCUAAAAAACUAAUAAAUUGAUAAAUUAAUAUAAAAUUAGACAAAACAUACACAGAGAGAUUAAGAGAAACCAGAUUAAUGUUUUUUAUUCAAUCCUCCAAUAGGUAUACAAGUUCUCAACUUCAACCCAAAGAGUACUUCUAAAUUAAAAAGAAUUAAAAAAAUUUGUUAAGUUUCUUGCUGGUUGAUAAGGAUUGGAGAUAAGGUCGAAGGAAUAAGACACAAAAAAGUUAGCACAAAGAGUGGAAAUUUUGAUGAUAAAUUAUGGGUAUUCUUGACUUUUAACACAAUUUGAAGCAACAUCAUUGAAGAAAUAGGAUAUCUAAAUUUGGUCUUCCAAGCUUCUUUGAAAAUAAUUAAUGUGAUCUAUAAGUAUGUCUCUUAAAAUUGGUGACUUUUCAAUUCUUUAGGAAAACUCCUUGCAAUUUCAAAUUUCUUUUUCUUCUCAAAGUAUCAUAAACCAAUUGAAACGCAAAAAGAUUAAAAAAUCUUGAACCAAACAAAAUUUAAAAAAAAAAAAACAUUAAUAAUUUUAUUUAUAAGAUCAAAUUGUUUGGCACAAAAAAUCCAACCAAUUAAUAAAUUAUUCAAAUAAACAUAAGCAUACUCAAAUCAUAAAUCAUCGCCCAUAAAAAAAUAAUAAUUUAACAUGAUUCGAUACUUAACUUAUCUACAUCUAUCAAUAAAAGAAAAGAUCUACUAAAUAUAGAGAAUUAUAAAUAUACGAUUAAAUCAAUCAACACUUACAAUAAAUAUCUAUAUACCCUCUUAUUCUUCUUUAAUUCUAAGAAUUAUACUAAAUCCAAACUAUAAAUAUUCACACACCCAUGAUCUUUUCAUUCUCCUCUAAUUAUAUUAAGUGUAAUCAAUCAAACAUUAGCACCCAAUAGUACUGCUAUUAUUUUCUUCUGGUACUAUGAAGUAUAAUCAAUUAUAUAUGCAUACCCAUGAGUACUCUCCCUUGGCCCCAUGAAGUGCUUAUCUUGGAAAAUAUUAUAAUUUUUUUUUAUAUAUUUUUUUAUACUAACCUUGUUAAGACUCACACAAUAUAUAAUAUUUCUAACUUAAUCACAAAAAAUUCCUUUACUCUUAAAAUUUUUGUCUUUCAAUUUUUUUCUUUCAAAUAACAUAUAGUUAAUCUUAAAAAAUUCUCAAACAAAUCUCUUAUUAAAUUUUUUUAAUGUUUAAGUCAAUAUUCUCGAUACAAAUACCCUUAUAAUUUGUAUGUGUAUAAUCUUAAAAUUGAACAAACCUUUUAACCAAAAAAAAAAAAAAAGAAGAAACAAAUGAGAUUACAUAGUUUUCUAAAAAAUCCCUAAACAUCCUAAAAUAAUUAAAUCCUCAGAAUGUAAAAUAAUUCAAUCAUCUUAAAUAAUUAACAAUUAAUUUUCUAAUGAAAAAUUAGCAAUUAAUUAUUUUCAUGUAUCUCAACUACAACCACAAAUCAUUUUGUGGAAGUUUAUAUAUAAAACUUGAGAAAGCACAUUGAAAGAGCGUAGAUAUUGAUGGUAGUAAUUAAUUUAACUUGUUGACUAAGUUAUUAUAUAUAACUAAAUUUUCAGAUUUUGAAAAAGAUAGGAUGAAAGAAAAACUUGAGAAUUUAGAAAGUAUUUUUGUUUUCAAAGUCCUUGAACCAAUUGACACGGUAGAACUAAAACCUUGAAGAUUUAAAAAUUGCUCAUUUUUCGAAGUCCUUAAACCUAUUGAAACAAUAGAAAAAGAAUUAGAGAAUUUUCUUAGAAUCCGAGAAAAUUCUUUUAUUAUACCAAAUUCAUAAUAUUUUGUCUUAGUCAUGUCAUUCAAAGGGAAAAAAUUAGCAAUAUCAAAAGAACCCAUUUUGCAUUUUUUUUUUAUCAAUUAUGAACUUUGCAUAAGAUAUGCUAUGUAGAAACUCUCCAAUCUUCCUUUUUUUUUUUUUAAUGCUUUUGAUUUUAUAGGUUUGGAAUAAGUCCCAAAAAAAAUUAAAAAUACAGUUGCUAUAAAAGAUAUAAUUAAAUUAAAUUUAGUUUUAUAUUUAAAUCUAAUGGAAUUGCAAAUACCAAUUAUCAAUAAAAAAAAAAGAAAAAACUAAUUGACUAGGAAUUUAGGUUCUGAUAUGAAAAAUUACAAUUAUAAUUAAAUAGUAUUUUGGUAUAAAAAUUUACUAAAUUAAGUCAAUAAAUUGAAACGAAUUAAAAACAAAAAAUUGCAAGUUUCUUGUUGGUUGAGAUGGAAUGGACAUCAGGCAGAAGGAAUAAGACAAAAAACUAAAAAUUUUGAGGAUAAAUUAUGAGAAUUAUUGACUUUUAACAUAAUUUAAGACAACAUCAUUGAAGAAAAAAAAUCUAAAUUUUGAAUUCCAAACUUCCUUGAAACCAAUUGGAGUGAUCUAACGAAAUGUCUUAUAAAAUUGACAACUUUUUAAUUCUUUAGGAAAACUCCUCGUAAUUCCAAAUUUCUUUUUCUUUUCAAAGUUUUGUAAACCAAUUGAAACGCAAAGAGAUUAAAAAAUCAAGGCUCAAACGAAAUUUUAAAAAAUUAAAAAUUUUAUUCAUAAGAUCAAGUUGUUAGGCAUAAAAAUACAAUCAAUUAAUAAAUUAUUCAAGCAAGCAUAAGUAUGCUCAAACCAUAAAUCAUCAUUCAUAUAAACUAUAAUAAUUUAAUGUGAUUUGACACUUAACUUGUCCACAUACAUCCAUAGACUAAAGAAAAACUUGUCCAUAUCCAUAAAUAAAAGAAAAAUCUAUUAGAUGUAGAGAUUUACAAAUAUAUAAUUAAAUCAACUAAUACUCAUAAUCAAUACCUAUAGACUUUCUUAUUCUCCUUUAAUCUUAUGAAUUCUCAACCCAAAUAAUAAACAUUCACACACACCUAUAGAUCUUUUUAUUCUACUAUAGUCUUAUGAAAUGUAAUCAUUUAAACAUGUGCAUCCAUUAGUACUCCUAUUAUUCUCCCCUAGUCUUAUGAAACAUAAUCAAUUAAAUAUGCACACCCAUGAGUAUUCUCCCAUAGCCUCAUGAAUUAUUUAUCCGGUAAAACUCCUUCAACUCUUUUAUAUUUUUUUAUCCGAUCAAAAAUUCCUAAACAUCUUAAAAUAAUUAAAUCACAAGAAUGUAUAAUAAUUCAAUCAUCUUAAAUAAUUAACAAUUAAUUUUUUAAUAAAAAAUUAGUAAUUAACUAUUUUCAUGUAUCUCAGCUACAGCCACAAAUUAUUUUGUGGAGGUUUAUUUAUAAGACUUGAGAAAACACAUUGAAAGAGUAUAGAUGUUGAUGGUAGUAAUUAAUUUAACUUGUUGACUAAGUAAUUAUAGAUAAUUAAAUUUCCAAUUUUUGAAAAGAAUAGGAUGAAGGAAAAACUUGAGAAUUUGAAAAUUGCUUUUGUUUUCAAAGUCUUUGAACCAAUUGAUAUCGCAAAAAUAAAACCUUGAGGAUUUAAAAAUUGUCUUUUUUUCAAAGUCUUUGAACUAAUUGAAAUGAUAGAGAAAAAAAUUAGAGAAUUUUCUUAUAAUUUGAGAAAAAUUUUUUUAUUAUACCAAAAUCAUAAUAUUUUGUCGUAAUCAUGUCAUUUAAUGGGAAAAAAUAGCACUAACAAAGGAACCCAUUUUUUUUUUUUUUUUUUUGCUUAAUUAUGAACUUUGCAUAAGAUAUGUUAGAUAGAAACUGUCUAAUUUUCCUUUUUCUUUAACGCUUUCGAUUUCAUAAUUUUGGAAUAAGUCACAAAAAAAAUUAAAAAAAAACAGUUGCUAUCAAAGAUAUAAUUCAAUUAAAAUUAGUAUUUUAUUUAAAUCCAAUGGAAUUGUAAAUGCGAAUUAUCAAUUAAAAAAAAAAGAAAAAUAAUAAUGGACUAGGAAUUUCAGUUUUGUUAUGGAAAAAAUAAUUGACUAGAGAUACCAAUUAUCAAUAAAAAAGAUAAUUGCAUAGGAAAAUUUUCAAUUUUCAUUUAUUUCACAUGUUGGGUGUUUACACCUUAUGGAAAAAUUAAUUUUAUUUUUUUUUGGAAUAAAUUAAUUUAGAUUUCAAUCAACGCUCUACCUAAGAUUAUAAAACCAAAUUCUCAGCGUCAACCCUACAACAUUGCAAGUAUCUUAUAUACAAGCUUUUUGAUGAGACAGACGGCUGAACAUGAUAAGGAAAGAAUAAGAGAUGAGAAAGCAAUUGGCAUUAUGGAAUUCUUGACUUUCAACACAAUUUUGGCACAACAUCUUGAAGGAAAAAAAUCUAAUUCAACUGAAAUCAAGAUGAAAUAAUAAGGUAGAGACAUGCUAAUGGAUAUAUUCGAGAUGUCUUAUAAAUUAAAAUGCAUAUUGUCGACUUUUUUAUUCCUUAAAAAAAGUAAUUCUAAUUCUAAAAGUUUUUCUUUCUAAAGUUUUUUAAAUCUAGAAGUGAAAAAUGGACGAAUUUAAGUAGGAUUGGAUUGGAUUUUUUUUAUUCGGAUAAUUUGGAUUCAAUUUUUCUUUAAAUUCGGAUUAUCUUAAGUUCAAACAUUUUCAAAAACAUACUAGAUUUUUACUAUUCUAUUCUAUCCAAAACUCUUUUCUUUAUUCCUUCCAUUCAAGAUUUCUGCAAAUUCUUCAUCUAAAAGUUUUUAUUUAUAUUUCUUUUUUAAAACUCUAUUUUUUCCCUUAAAUUUUCUUAUUCUUAUUUUCUUUUUACAAUAAUUUAUACAAUCAAGAAGAAUAAACAAUGGAUCAUUUUAGAAAAAAGAAGCCUUUUUUUUGUUUCUUUAAAGUAUGAGAUUUUUUUUAAAAAAAGUUUACAUUUCUUGAUUUUCAUGCAUAAUUUUUUUUAAUAUAUAUCAAUUUUAUUACUGCUACUCUAAACUCUAUUCUAUUAUGAUUAUAAAAAUUUUAAAUUGAAGUUUUCUUAUCAUUUUUUUUUAUUGAAUGGAAUUUAUUGGUCAUGAGUGCAUGUAUACAUGGAACCGUUAAAUGUUUAAGGAAUUGAUGAAUGGCUUACAAUAUGUCGAACUUUUCUCGAUUCAAUUUCCUAAAUCACAUUUUUGUCUUUAAUUUCAAAUUUCUUUAUUCUUUUGAUGGGCUUCACUAUUAAAUUUCAAUUACACUUUAUCUUAUCACUAUUAAAUAUCACUAUUAAAUAUUUGUUACAUUUGAAUUUUAUGUAAACCUUUUUUUUUUAUAUAUAUAACAAAAUUAUCUUUUUUACCAAUUAAGCAAUCAACUUUAUGAAAAGAAUUUAAUUAAAAUUUUCAAUGCCUUAAUGGUUUAAUUUAAUGGUGGUCUAACAUUGUACACUUAACAAAAGCUAUAGGAUAUUGUUGUGUUAUAGAUAGCAUUGACUCUGCUAUAUAUAUUUGUUUUUCUUUCUCUUUUCUAGAAAAUUUUGCGUUUAAAGUCUGUCCAUUAUCUAAUUGUAUUACAACCACCAAUGCAGUAAAUAAUUAUCAAAUAUCAAAACCAAAGACGGGAAAAAGAAGCAAACAAACACACAAUAUACUUUAAAACCUAUAAUCUAAACCAUACAGAAAGGAAUCCUUUUGACCAUGCAUCUCCUGCCAGCCUUAUUUCCUAUUAAUAAAUAACUAUAAAAAACUUAAAUUUAUAAUGAUUGUUAUUAUAAAUUCAAAAAAUUAAAAAUCAAUACAAAUAUAUAUAUGGUAAGAAAUUUUGAUUGAAAAAAAAUGCAUUUAAAAAAUGUGGUAAGAAAAAAAUUUUAAAAUCUAUUCACGAUAUUGAAAUUUGAGCUUACCAUGCGAUAUGAGCUGCAUCAUAGUCACUUAUCGGAGGCAUGAUCGGACUGAAGUUCUAAGCACAUCUGUUCUAAAAGUAACUUUUUAACAUCAUCCACAGAAGUUGACAAAUUUUGUCGAAUGUGCUUGUCCAAGGAAUUUGCCAUUCCCUAAUGAAUGAAAUUAAGAAAAAAGAAAGAAAUUGAGUAAAUAUGGAAUUCAUCAAACUCAUAAGAGCAAAAACAGAAGCAGGAAAGCUGAAAAAUCUUUUCUCAUCUUAUGAUAAAUGGUAUCGGUAAAGGCAAUUUCACCGUUCAAAACAAUUUCUUUAGGACGUUAACAAAUUAGAAGGGAAAGAACCUAUGACCACAACAACUUACUGACAUCCAAGCUGAUUAAAAUAAGUCAAGCAUGAUCGCAGACCGAUAGACCAUAGAUUUCGUAACUGCUUCAACUUUUGAUUUCUUCUCAAUCAUUUAACAGACAAGAUAGUGGAAAAUCUUUGUCAAGAUAUCACUCAAAGCACAAAAUUAUCAAUGAUGGAAAACUAAAACUUCUAAGGCUAAUCAAAAUCCCAAGUUAAACCUCCUUUCUCACGCCAAAUAAUGACUACUUUUCUUCUUUUAUAACCAAGCCUAAAUUGCAAACUAAUUGAAGUUGCUGCAUGAAUCAUUUUUACUAUUCUGUGCAGUAGCCUCUGAAAAGGCAAAGAAAAAGAAGAAAUUUUACUGAAAUAUGUAUUUAAGUUAGACUCUGGUUUUAACUAAGGGAAUGUUUCGAGGAGAUAAAAGUUCUAAGGCAAAAAGCAAAAAGAAAAAAGAUUGAACAAUAAUAAUAUGAAAUAAAUGCCACUUACCUCAACCUUGCAAAGUAAGCUCAAUGAAAUUCCCCUUGAAUGAUGAUCUGAGCUCUUGACAGAUAACAAUUUCAAUGCAGAUUUUGGCAGCAUCCAACCUUGAGACACCUUUAUAAAUGCAUCAAUGCCCCCGACCAUGUGAGCAAUGAUGGUCUCAUCUCUCUCUGAGUACUCAAAGGAAUGCCUGCAUUAGGUACUAUUCAAAUGUAAAAAGCUUCUCCUUUUGCAAUUUCUUUCAACUUUCCCCCAUUUUUGGUGGGUGAACAGAAAUUUAAAAAAACUUAUAUGACAAAGGAAAUGAAGUGCACAAUUGACCAGCUACUUUAAACCUCUUGAAAUUAUUAUAUCAACACUGUGAACACUUUACCUAUAUGAGUCUCACCUUGAUUUAUUUGUACUCUUCACUAUAAAUCGUCUCAAAGUACUUACGAUAAUCCUAUCCUGCACUUUUCCCACAAGCCACUCUAGUGAAGACCAUGUCUCCUGUGCCAUUAAGUUAGAGGAUAGCUGCCUGCAACAUCACAAUAGAUUAUAUACCCUAAAUAAGGAAUUCAAUCAAGGUCUACCUUUGUCAAACUGGAUAAAAAAAAUGAUUCAUGACAACUGUCAGGUUUAAUUAAGCUACUUGCCAUCUCGACAUGGUGGGUUGAUUAAGUUCCAAGAAAAUGUGAAUUUAUAUAAAUAAUAAAUGUAUAUAAAACAAUUACUGCAAACAUCUCAGUAAAAGGUGGCAAAAACUACAUAUUAUGAGCAGUACUUUUAGCACAAAAACAACAAGGAUAAUUAAAGCUUAUUCUUAAGGGUGACAGCCUGGGAAAACAGGAUCUGCCAUGAAGGGAAAGAAUAUAGGAAAUUAAAGGUUCAAAUGAGCCAAAAGAAGGACAAAUAGGUUGCUGUUCUAGUUGAAAAAACUGCCUUUCAAUAAAAACUUUGACUGAAAGUCUGAAUGAAGAACUUUGGUUUUUAAUAGAUGAAUCAAUAUGAUGGGACCAUAAUUUGAUAAUACCCUCUAAAUGACGGAUAAGUUGAUGUAUAAAAGAGGGUUGAAAGGUUUUAUAUAGGGUGGAUAGCAGCAAGGUUGAGAAAAGAGAUGCAAGUAAUUUUAGGUUUGCAAGCGCCUAAGACAUUCAAAAUUGAAAGAAGAAAGGAGAUAGACCUUCAGAGGACUUCUUCUUUUUAAGAAAUCACACUUAUGAUUCAAUCUAUUGUUCUAUAUAAAAACUGACAAAUUACAUUCCCUUUAAUGGCCUUCUGCUACUAUACAUGCACACAUCUGCAAAAAUACACAUGAUAAAUUCGGAUUCAACCUUGAAGUCAGAAAAACUGAAAAACCAAACCUGAAAGACUUUGCAGCAUCAAUUAUAUCAUCUAUGUAAACAUCAUUUGGGAACAUCUGGACAACAUGAUACAUGAACAAGCAUUUCAAAACAAUUGAACAAAAAGACAUGAAGAACCAAUAUGAUUCUUCUUUUGCAAGCAAGCACAGGUUUUCUAAUGCCUGUUUAACUUGAGCCCAAAAAAAAAAAAAAAGACACGGCAUGAAACUAAUGAAUGAAAAAAUUAUCAUCCAAAAAGAAAUAUAUGAUAGUAACUUUUGUGAAAAUGGUUUUGACACCAAAUUGUUUUUUUCUUUUUCCAGUUUGAUAGGCAUCAAAUGGGAAAGAAACUGAAUUUUUGGGCAAUCUUAAAACCAGUUUUUUCCUUUUCAGUUGACUUCACAUUAUUACAUCAGAGAGAUUAGUUACUUGUCAAGUAUGAUUAUUUAUCCAUUGACUAUCAAAAGUUUAAUUUCUUUCUUUAUGAGAACAGAGAUAAAGAAAAGAACAACAGAUUAUUUCAAGUUUUUCACAAAAAAACAAUUAGUCAUACCUCAACAUUCUUAACCUCCAUGGUUCCAUCCAUAAUCUCUACUAGCAAUUCAUGAUUCAUUUCAGAUGGCUCAGCAAUAUCUUCAAUCAUCGUUUGGAACAAUUCACCCUCUACUUUUGGAAUAUAAAUCUGUAAUGACAGCCUAAUGCAGUUUCCAUCAAACCAAAUGACUUUCAAACCAGUCAAUGCAUCUUCAAUCUGUUCUAUGGUAUCUAAUCUGAAAAUAAAAGAAAAAGAAAAGAACACAGUAAGCAAAAGGGUAAUGAUAUAGAACACAUAUAACCAAAGCAAAAAUAAGUGAACAAUCUUUUAAACAUAGAAUCAAGAUCUUGCAAAGACUUGAAAAUUAAAUUGUUCUUCUCAAUCUGACUUUCUAGUUCCAAAAUCUGAAAAGCAUAAAUAGAAGAAUAUUGGAUGUUUAAUGAAGUAAAAUAUGUAGUGUCAUUUACAACUCAAAGAAUUUAAUAUACAUUAUUAGCACAUAUACAUAAUUAAUAUCCUAAUUGAAUAUAUCAAAUAUCUAGAUCAUUAUAAAAAAGCUAGAACUUAGUCAUCAAAGAAAAGAGAUUCUUAUAAACAUGAUUAUAAAGCCAAAAACCUAUGGCACAAUUAUUAAAGUUCAGCAUCAGCUUGAAUCUAAUGCAGUAUUCAAGAAGCAAGCGAGAAGAAACAAAAGCACCCCAAACUUUUUCUCUUCAUUUGCAUCCAUCAAAUUCAAUUGAUUUUUAUAGCAGGGGUCCUCUUCUACUGUCUCCAGACCCUACAACUCAAAAUGUCAAAAGGCUAACUGUUAAAUUUGACUUCCAAAUUGAUUUCAAACUGAAUACCUUUCAAGCCAUCAAGAUUGCUUCACAAAAUGAAAUAACAUAGAGAAACCAACCUGAAGAUGCAAUAGAAUCCAAUGCACACCUCAAGCCCUCAAGAUUGCCUUCCAGUAUAUUUGUUUCUGUAAAAAUAGAAGUCAAACGUAAAUCAGCAGAAGAAAAAGCAUUUAAGAGUAAUUACAUGUGAAAAUCAAACCUAAGUCGAUGAAGCCUCACCUUCAAUAUGAUUUCUUGAAAGAUCCUCAAUUUCCUUAGAAAUCUUGGUACUUUCAGCCUCUACUUGAUUAAGCUCCUCUUUUAAGUGUGCUAAGUGUUUAUCUGUAUGAAUAAUUAAAAAAACACCAAUCUAGAAUCAGCACAACAUUGCAUUGCAGGCAUACAGAUGUUUUCCUAUGAUGUGCUAGGCAUUCAAGUGUGCUAGAUAUUCAUCUUUUAGUUUCCUAUGAUGAGUCACUUUAUAAAAUACUUGCAUUUCAGGCAAUCACAAUUAGAAGAAUAAAACAUUAAACAUGUUAUCCGAAAGAGCAUCAAAAACUUUGAAUGGAUCCUAAACUAUCCAAUUCCCUUCCGUAUCAGAAACCCUUUCAUUAUCUAAAAACCCUUUUAAACUCCAUAUUCCACAAAACCCAGAGAUUUUUCACCAAAAAGAAAAAAAAAUCCAACUUUGUUACUAAAACUUAGUAACCAUAACAUACAAUCCGAUUAAAGACAAAAACAAGCAAAAGAGGCAGUUACUUAAUACAAUACCCACUUUAAGUUCAAUUGUACAUGUAUAUGUGCAAUUGAUUUUAAUAAAAAUUAACCACAAAAAUCUAAAAGAUUAAAGGAAACAUACUUAAAUCUUCAAUUCCUAAGAAACCCACUUCAGAAUACUCUUCAACAAUUUGCUUCACUUUACUCCGCAUAAACACACUCUUAAGUCUUAAUUCAAAAAAAAAAAACAAAAAUGAAACAAAAUAUUAAAAAAUAAUAUUGAGAAUCACCUCGAAGUGAGAAGUGCAAUCUGAGCACCUUCUCGGAAUUCGAAGAGAGAGCUUCACUCUCAACCUCAUUUUUAUUGCUACUAUGAAUCUCCGAGAGCUCUUUUAUUUGGCUCAAAACAGGAGAAAAAAUUAAAAUUAACAAAAAAAGAUUUUAUAUAGAAAGGAGCAAAUUACUUCACAGUAUUAAAAAGAGAGAAAAAAACCCGCGAAGAUUGAGAGGUUGUAAUGAAGAAGAAAUCUCCGUGGGCUCUGCCAUGGUUUUUGUGUGUUUAAAUGAAUCUAAUCUCCCGCCUGUUUGAAGGUUGGUUAAGUAGCUGAGUUGCUGGCAAGAGGAGGAAAUAUGUUAAAAUUCAAAGGGGAAAGUUGAGGAUAUUUAUUUGUUUCGAGUGGAAAUGCUGGGAUUGGGCCCACUUUGGAACCAAGAAGUGGGCCCUCUUUUCAAGUCGACAAUUCUAAAGAAUCGUUCAUGAGAAAAAAAAAGUAUUAUUCUCAACUUUUAAAAUAAAAAGGUGGCAGAAAAGAAAAUUAAAAGUAUCCUUUUGAUUUUGGUUAAAAUAUUAAAAAAACACAUGAAUUAUUUUAAUUUUUAAAUAAAAUUUUAUUUUUUUAAUUUAUAUCUAAAUAAUUCUUUAUUUUAAAUGAAAGAUUAAUUUAUAUUAAAGAUUUAUUUAGAUAUAAAUUAAAAGUUAAAUAUUUAUUUGCAUGUAAUAAAAAUAUAAAAAUUUAUCUAAUUGAAAUAAAUGACAAAAUUCAGAGUUUCUUUAUUGUUUUAGCCUAAUAAUAAGUGCAUAUACUCUCUUAAAAAUUCUAAUUUAAUAAUCUUUUUCUAAUUGAAAAUAAUAUAAAAAUUUAUGAACUUUUUAAUGUGAUGAAAAAUUCAUUAAUAAAUAUAUAAAAGCAAGAAAUGGAAAAACUAAGAAUUUAUGUUUAAUUUUUCUCACCUUUUUUAUUUUAUUAGUUGAAUUAAGCUCGAAUUGCUUUCACUUUGAUCAAUUAAUUAGUCUAAAAAUAGAAGUAAUAUUCAUUUGUGAGAAUUUUAAACUCUAAUAACUAUUCUUUGGUGCUAUUAUGAAAAAUUUUAAAACAUUUCAAUCAUCAAAUAUUACCGUCACAAAACAGAGAAACUCAAAUUAAACUUUACUAUAUUUUUAUCAUAUACAAUAUUAAUAAUUUGUCUAUCUCAUUUUUAAUCCAAAAAUUACAUAUCAUCAUAAAUUCAUGUUUAUAUAAAAAAUACAAAAUAUAUUUUUUAUUUUAAUUAAAUUCAUUUAUAAUUUUUAUUAAAAUUUUAAAUCGUAUCUUUUUCAUAUAUUUUUUAUAUCAUAUUCAUAUAUUAUUUGCUAGUAUUUUUCAUAUACUUUAUAUAAUUUCAUCAUAUUGUGUUUUAAGUUAUUAGCUAAGUAUAAACUUUUUUAUUGUUAUGAUAAUAAUUAGGGGAGCCCCUGGAUCUGCCCUUUAUGGCUUUGAGCCAAGCUCCGGGCUCUGGCUGGUUUUGAAAACUUAGCAACUAUUCAAGGAGUAAAAGGAAGAGAAAUCAUUUCCAUACCACUUAGAAUGGGAUUUAUAAACAGAACAGGGCAAUCGUCUCAGUGAAUCAAUUAAGUUGACCAAAUGGAAAGGCUGCCAAAACUCAUAGUCAACAAUGGUAUGAUUUACAGGUUGACCACUAUUACACAUUGAAGAGUCUGUAUUUCGAAUUCGAGCAUCUGACCAUAACACUUAAAUGUAUGCAUCUUAAAUGAAUGCAAAACGAUGCAUGAUAGAAAAUGUAAGAAGUAGAGCACAACCUAACUGGAGAUGCAGUAUACAUACUGUCUAAAGAAAACAGCCAAAAUCCACUCGGACCUUUCUCGGCAUGUAAUGCAAUCUUCAAUGGUCCGGUUUCAAUGUCAAACACUCCAAAUCUGCAAAAGCUUGCACCCAAGCUAUCCUAUUUUAAACAGCUAAGCUUCUUCGCUGCAUCAGUGAUGCUCUGGCUUAUUCGGGAUGUUUGGACUCGAGCAAUUUCUCAAGUCUAAGGGUUGCUUCAGGUAUGCAAUCCUCCUUGAUGUAAGACUCCGAACAAAGACCGAAAUUUUCUAGGUUGACCUCUUCGUCGAGUUGAAGGCAAAAUAAGUGGCUAAAGACCUGAAAGGUGAGCAUAACAUUACAAACUGCCAAUCAGAUUUACGUGAAUAUGUGCUAUAUAAAUUUAAUAAUCAUGGAAGAAUGCAAAAAUUGUUAAUGCUAAGAAUUACUAUUAGUUUUCUAAAUUCCUAAAUCCUCUUCAUAAGUUUCCCUAGUUAAAAAAAUCACGACAAAAAUCAAACAAUCAAUAACAUCUUAGCAGGCUAUAGCAAUUUUUGGCCAGGACUGUAUAACUAGUAAUAAGCCUUUAAAAUAUAUUUGUAUUACAUUUAUAGAGAGUGAGAAUAAGCUAUAAAACAAUCAAUAAACUUUGAUUAAUGACAAUAUUUAUGAAGUUGUUUAUUCUCACCUCUUUCAUCCUUGAAACAACUGCGUCCUUAAUGGCAGGAGACCUUGAGACCAAAUUAAUAACAGAGACCUUGCUCAGAAAGGGUAUCUUUUACAUUUUGGAGAAAAGACUUCCACAAAAUCAGCAGCAGGACAGGUCAUUCCAGAGCUAUAAAGACAAUAUAACAGAGAUGAUUAAAAAUAUUAAAAGACCUCCAGCGUUUCAAUGACAAUUGUUGCGACUGUUAAUAGCUCCAUUCACCUUGAGUCUGAAGAGUUCACAUCAACAAUAAGUAUGUCAAUAGCAGUACUUCUUCGGCUUCCUGCAUCUGAAAAAUUGCAACUUCCAUUGGAAGAAAGGAGCAUUUCAUUGCUUGAAGCAUUCUUGUUUUUGUGAAGAGGCACAUCCCCUGUUGCAGAUAAGUUUCUGUAGUCCAGAACAAAUUCGAUGCCAUCGGCGACAUGUAGCUGAAAACUAUUGGAAAGCCUAAUGUUUUUAAAGCUCUAUAAAAAAAAGAAUAUUAUAUCUGCCAUCUUAAAGUUAUUUACAUUUACAUAAGCAUUCUUGAAAAGGUGAAACAAAAAAAUUAUUUUCCUAUUUUAUUCACUCUAUCUGCUCCAACUUUUAUUAUUAUACCCAAGCCAUCAAGAAGAUUAUCAACGGAAUAGAGCCUUGAUGUCUUGAGCAAAAUGAACCAAGAGCCAAACCAUGAAAUUAAUAUAUAGUAACAAAUUAUACAGAUAUGUAAUUAGAAUAAUAAUUACAGACAGGUAAUUAUAAGCCUCAGUUGAGUAUAGAGCUAACAAAAAGUACUCGGAGCAUAAAACAGGGUGAUGCACUGAGGUAAAGUCAGUUACCUUCAAACGUUUAUCUUCAGUAAAACCAAAGUGGUCACUUGCAAGGUUAACCAUAGUAGGAUCUAGCUCCACUGCCUGAGGAUAAAAAUUUCAUUGCACGAUUUCCAUAAAGUAAAACCAACUUCAAAAACAAUGAGAAGAGUCAUUAAAUUUAAAAAAAAAAACAAUUCCUUUUGAAAACCAGCUUGGCAGAUUUUUAAGGGGGUAAAGUAAAAAUUACCUUAAUUUGCAUAAAUUACAUAUAUCCAUGAAGAAACAUAGGAAGUAAACCCGCACCAAGACCUAUCACAACUGCUUUAACCUGAGACAGAUGAUUUUUAACAUGAGCAGCACAUCACAAACAAACGCAUCAAUGAUUUCAGAGAAAAGGUCAAUCACACGGCCUUUGCCUAUUGAGACUAAAACAUUGUGCACCAAUGCUUAGACCUCCAAAUUUGAAAGUUGGCUAAAGUUGGUCCAUGUCUGACACACAGAAGAAUGACCCGCAGUUCAGAAAGAAUGUUCAUUUCUUCAUCAAUGUAAACCGAAUGAUCACCAAAAUAUACUUUAAUCAAGCAACCAUGAAUUUUUAAUAUACAAUGAAGACAUCAAAACCAGGCAAUUACAGAUAUCUAAAGAGUUGGAGGGCAAAAAUCUAUCAAAUAUUCCACAAGGGAAAGAGUAUAAGCCAUAUUUUAUUCCCAGCUGAUGCCUUUCCAAAUAGGAUGAAAUCAGUGAAAACCUAGAAAUGAUCCCUGUAUGAUAAGAACUAGCCAAAUAACCAUGAUACACCUUCAUCUCGCUGCUUGAUUCUAUAUAUUAAGAAAAAAUCAGAAACAAGCUGUUUAAAAGAAGCUUUUUUGGAUGGAGUACAGUAAUUAAACAAUUAAAAAAGGCAAUAAGCAGAAUCUUAGAUGGAAGGUAAUUUCAGUAUUUUGAAGACAUGUUGCUCAAGGACUCAAAAGUGGAUCUGCUUCAACAGACGCUAACUAAUAAAGAGCACGUCCUCAGAAGUUUGCUAAUCCAAUGAUUUCUGUCCAAUUAUCUUAGAAAUAGCACCAUAUUUCUCUCCCUUUACCAAUAAUAAUACAACAAAACAGACAUUAGCGCCAUUCAAAUGCACAGGAAUCAUAUAAAACUUAUAACAAAAGCAAGAAAAAACCGUCUAACAACAGAGGUCUAAGACAUUAAUAAAUUCAAAAGAACAGCAUAAAGGCAUGAGAUAAGAGUCAGCAGGACCAUAGUCUUCCAGUUUAGUAUUAAACAUUUUGCCAUCACUCUGUUUCCAAUAAACAAAUUUGUAGUCAAAUCUCUGCCCCUGCAAUCUCUUUUCCUAUCCCAAAUUAUAGUCUCAAAGAAAUUAGUCAUAGAGACUAAGAAAAGGAAACAUAUAUAUGCACAAAUCAAAAGGACCAAAGCAUCCCAAAACGGAAAAUGCAAUCCACUUAUUACUCAACCUAACAUUUUGCAAAAUUAUGAUUGAAAUCUAGGUGUUAAGCUUUCUAGUAAAUGGUUUGAGUGUUGGAAUUAGAUUUAGACAAAAUGAUUGAAGAAAAGGAAAAGAGCUUAAAAAGAAAGGAAAACCUCAAUUCAAUUUCUUAAUUAUUAGUUUUGCUUCUUCUUUACAUUCAUCAACAUUCAAUUUGCUGAAUCCAAUAUCUGAUUGAAUAUCUCUCUACCUAUGUCAAUGAGGAGAUGGUGAACCAAACAGUGGCCAUAACUGGCUUCUCUCCGGAAAGUCAACUUUUUUUAUGUUUCCUUAAAACCCCAUCAAUUGUUUUCAACUUUCUGGUAAGUUUUCUUCUCUUAGGUGCUGUCCAUAGUAUCUUCAUCUUAAAAACAAGCAGUGGCCAUAUGUUGUAGGAUAGAAGACCUUUAACGAAAUAUGAAUUUGGUGCUGCCCAAAGCAUAGAAAUCAUUCCCUCAAGGGAUUUGGAGCCAUGGAAGUGAUGAUUUCUCACUUGUUGGAGGAGUUCAAAAUUUUCUGAAUUCACAAAAGAAGUUGGUGAAAUAACCAUCCUGGUUUAUAGCAUUGUUAGCAUCAAGUUCACUACUAGAGAUCAGACUACCCCAAAUGGCCAGUGAAUUGAAGCAUAGCAUGCUCAUCUUAUGUCUCCCAAUAUCUAUAAUUUCUUGAACGAAUCAUUCCUAUACGAUACUCUUAGCAACUUCAAGAUGAAUUCCUGUAUGAAAAAGCAUUUCCAGUACUUUCUGCAAGUACAUGGUAUAUUCAAAAUGAUAUUAGCUUCCAGUCGCCUGAAAAUUUAUGUUGUAAGUUCAAUGGCAUAAUGGUUGAAGUUUUUGAAAACAUUGUUACCUGCUGUAUGAUUUUGAAUACAUGCAUAUAUUAUAGUACGAAAGCAUGUUAUCUGUAUAUAACCAUUGUGAUCUUGAAUUACUUUUUGCAUAUUUAGUCAACUUAAUGCAUAAGCUCAGGUUUAAUUCACAACGUUCGUAGAGCACUCGAGACUGAUCCUUACCUCAAAUGUAUUUUGAUCAAAGAAGAGGACUGGCUACUAGAUGCCCGGGAGUUCAGUCCCUGCAACAAAGAUACAGUUAGAUAUGAGUGGAAAAGGGGAAAAUUUUUGGAUUUUGUACAAUGAUUUAAGAAUUAGAAUUAGUUGCUAUAUCAGAAUUCAGAGCAAUGCUUCCAAUAGAUGAGAUCAAUGUGCAUAUUUUAACAUCUAGUGAAGACCUAGGGAAUAAAUUAUCGAAAGGAUUUACUUGAAUGAUACAAAAGUGAGUUUAUGUAAGUUGCAUCACCACAAACAAGAAAGGCCCUUCCUUGCCUCCUGUAGGCAAUCUAUGCUGAUGCUCCAUACUAAGCGACCACCUUUGGUUUUAGACACCUGCUACAAAUUUCUGUUAUACUUUGGGUCAUUUUAGACAACGCAGUCUGUGUCCUCUCAUGCAAGGACAUGAAACUGAGGGGGAAAAGGUCAUUUACCUGUGAUUGCAAAUAAGAUGCAGUUGAAGCAGCAAUUUCAUAGCUAAUAAGUUACAGAUAAGUGGAAUAAGCCUCUAAAAAGUAUGUGUAACUGUAUUCUGGUGAUUGAUUCAUGCUUUCUUUCCGUGGAAUAUAGGUAGCAAACAGCAGCCUGCAGGCCCUUGUAUCUUCUCAAACCAUUGGCCUAAAAAUUAUAAGGAUGAAGUUACUCCAUUUCGGUAGAACAAUUAAUCAAGUUUUUCAUUUACAAAAACCUCAAUUCAUAAGAAGCUUUUAUCAUUUUCUUCAAAGCUAAAAUUAGUGACUUAAUCAAGACCACAUAACAAUUUAAGAAUGUUUUUCUUCAAAUUUAGACCAUCAAAAAGAUUCCGAUUCAUUCAUACCCUUUAAGCUGUUAAAAGUUGCUCUGAACUGCCCUCAUUUUUUUCUUAGUCAAGGUCUACUCUACAUUGACAUAAGCUUAGGAUUGCAACUAUAUAACAAUAGGGCUUACAACAAAACAUUUUUCUUUGUCUAUGUGCGAGUGUAAAAUUAUAGAAACAAGGAAUAAGGUUGUAUUAAAAUGAAGAAAAUGUUAGAGGAAAUUAUUAUGAACUACAAAAGGUUUGGGAAAACCUAUCAUGGGAAAUAGAGAUGCAUACCUGGAUUUCUGAUACAAAAUAAGCCAUUCCAGACGAGAAGGGCAAAAUGGUUUGGCUUCAAAGAAUGAUAAAUAGACCAGACACAUUAAAAGGCUUUUUAUAAUCAUAUCUCACUCCAUCUCCAUCAUGAUCAAGGACUUAAUCUCAAAUAAUCACAUUCUGUUUCCGUCUUUUCAGUGCAUUGGUAUAGCAUGUGUACAACUAAUUAAACAACAAAGGAUCUUUGCUUGAGCUUGGUCUUUUAAGAUUAUUUCAUUGUAAUACUAGUCACUAUUCAUUCUACAUGCCAUAUCUUGUUUCAGGUUCCUCCUGCACUGCAACAUUGUAACCGGAAAUUAUAAUUAUAACAGACUCAUUGAUAAUGAAUAUCACUAUUACAAGAACAAAUAUUAUAUGAUAGUAAACAUUGUCAAGAGAGAAAAAGGAUGUUAGGAAAUUUAAAGAAUAUCAUAAUUUGCAACAACAAUCUUUUCAAUUUAAAAAUAUUUUACAAGUUUCUAAAGAAAAUGUUUACCUGCUAUUUUGAAAGAUGAAUUGAAGCUAAGCAUGCUCUUCAUAUGUCUCCAAAUAUCUAUAAUUUCUUGAAUGAAUCGGUCAUAUACAUUACCAUUUACAACUUCAGGAUAAAUUCCUGUAUGAAUAAGAACUUCCAGCACUGCCUAAAAGAACACAAUACAUUCAAAAUGAUAUUAGCUUCCAGUCAUAAUAAAAGGUUUAGGAAAAACCUAUCAUAGGAAAUAGAGAAGCAUACCUGGAUUUUUUUAAACAAAAUUAGCCAUGCCAGGCAAGAAGGGCAAAAUGUUUUGUCUUCAAAGAAUGAUAAAUAGACCAGAUAUCUUGAAAAGGUUUUUAUAAUUAUAUCUCACUCCAUUUCCAUCUCCAUCAUGAUCAGGACUUAGUCUCAAACAAUCUCAUUUUGUCUUCAUCUUUUUUGGUUCAUUGAUACAGCAUGUAUGCGACUAAUUAAACAACAAAGGAUCUUUGCUCAAGCUUGGUCUUUUAAGAUUAUUUUGUUGUUAGACCUGUCUCUUUUCCUUUUAGAUGCCAUAUCUUGUUUCUGGUUCCUCCUGCACUACAACAUUAUAACACAAAAUUAUAACAGACUCGUUGAUAAUGAAUAUCACUGCUACAAGAACAAAUAUUACAAGAUACUGAACUUUGUCAAGGGAGAAAAAAAAAUAAGGCUACAAAAUUUAAAGAAUAUAAUAAUUUGCAGCAACUAUCUUUUCAAUUUAAAAAGAUUUCCCAAGUUUCUAAAAGGAAUGCUUACCAGCUAUUUUGAAACAUGAAUUUUGAUGCUUAUCUUCUUCCUUUUCCCUUUCUUUUUGAAUUUGUCUAGCCAUAUAUUUCCGAACUCAUUCAGCACUGUGUAUCCCAUACAUAAACCAAUGACCAAUCCACUACCAUAACCGAUCAAUGCAAUUUUCCAAACAGAUAUACCAUCUACCCAUGAAUCUACAUCUUUCUUUGGAAGGGGCACCAGAACACCAAAUUCAUUGCAUUUCCAUGACAAAGGCGGCCCGCAUAAUCUUGGAUUCCCUUUGUAAGAAUCAGUUGAAAAUGUAUUGAAUUGGUUGCUUUGUGGUAUGCUCCCUUCAAGUUGGUUGUAAGACAGGUUUAGUGCUUCCAGGAAAGUUAGACUUGUAAGUUGAGGAGGAAUCUUCCCGGAAAGUUUGUUCUGUGAGAGGUCCAAAGACUCAAGGUCUUUUAGGUUCCCAAGUGCUAAUGGAAUUUGGCCAGAGAAGCUAUUUUGGGAUAAGUUUAGCACCAUGAGUGAUUUGAGAAAUUGUAUUUUUUCUGGUAUUCUCCCACGGAAACUAUUGUUGGAAAGGUCAAGACAAGUAAAAAUGGUUAAGAUUUUCUUGUAAAAAAUUACAAUCCCUUUAUUAACAAUUGUCACAGAGUCUUGAUAGUACCGUUCUCCAAUAUAAUCUAGCCUUGCUUUGUUGCCAUCAGUCAUCAAAGUCAUUGCCCUCAAACAUUGCAAAAAUUCUAUGGAUAAGUCACCUGAAAAGUCGUUGGAAGCAAUGUCCAAUAUCCGUAGCAUUGAAAAACCACCUUUCAUUUCGAAAUUUUUAAUUGCACCAUAAAAUCUGUUUGCUCGUAGAAUGAGAACCUUCAAGGAAGGCAACAUCUCCAACCAAACCGGAAAUGUGUCAUGAAUCAUAUUGUUUCCAAGGUCUAAAACCUCAAGUUUUGUGCAAUUGGCUAAUGAUCUUGGCAACUUCCCUUCCAAUUUAUUCCCACCAAUUUUGAGUGACCUUAAUUGAGUAGCUUGAAGGAAAUCAAUGGAUAGUUCACCAGAAAAUUCAUUAGAAGCAAUGUCAAGUACAUCCAACACCGGAAAACCAUUUUUAUGUUUCGAAUGUUUAAUUUGACCAUAAAAUCUAUUCUCUCGCAGUAUCAGAACCUUCAGUGCAGGUAAUUUUUCCAACCAAAAAGGGAAUGUAUCAUACAUCAUGUUGUUUCCCACAUCCAAAACUUCGAGUUGAGUGCAUUUGGCUAGUGACUUCGGCAACUUCCCUUCCAAUCUAUUCUCACUAACUUUGAGUGUCCAUAGUCGGGUUGCUUCUGCAAAAUUUGGUAAGAUUCCGCUAAAGUGAUUUCCUUGAAGGUCCAACAAAUCGAGAGUACUGAUAUUGCCUAAGCAACUUGGAAUUGUGCCACUCAAAUUGUUAUAAGAUGCAUUGAAAAUCAAAAGUUGACUCAAAUUGCAAAUAGGUCUGAGGGAAGAGCCUUGUGAAGAAGUUAGAGAUUGAUUGGGUAAAAAUUGGUCCAAAGAUGAGAGAUGAUUGUUAGAAAGAGACAAAUAACCCAAACUUUUCUUCCACAACCAGUUUGGUACUGCACCACUUAUUGUGUUGUUUGAAAGGUCAAGAUAUUCUAAGUUCUCUUGACUCUUUAAAAACUCUGGAAAUGUACUUAUAUUACAGGAUCUUAAAAUCAACCCCCACAGCAUUGGAAAGGAAGAGUUUGCAUCACCAAAGGGAAAUUGUUUUGGGAAAUCAAUGGCGUUGAAAGAAAGGUCUAAAUAUAGAAGAGUGGUCUUCCACAGCCAAUUAGGCACAAAACCAUGGAUUUGGUUGUUAGAAAGAUAUAGGGCAACCAACUUGUCUUGUGUUUUGAUGAAUUCAGGAAAUUCUGUAAGGUUGCAAGAUCGUAGGCUAAGAUAAUAUAAUUGGGGAAAAGUAAAGUUUUUGUUGUUGCUUUCAAUUGAAAAGGAGGAGUUUGCAUCACCGAAAGGAAACUCUCUUGAAAAAUUAAUGGGAUUGAAAGAAAGGUCUAAAGACAGAAGAGUGGUCUUCCACAACCAAUUAGGCACAAAACCAUGGAUUUGGUUGUUAGAAAGAUCUAGAUCAGCCAACUUGCCUUGUGUUUUGAUGAAUUCUGGAAAUCCAGUAAGGUUGCAUGACCUUAGGGCUAACUCCUCCAAUUGGGGAAAU
Molecule: long non-coding RNA, 22961 nt
Filed under: Durio zibethinus
Lineage: Eukaryota; Viridiplantae; Streptophyta; Magnoliopsida; Malvales; Malvaceae
Description: long non-coding RNA (DZIB_LNC001951)
Source: RNAcentral